This 430-nucleotide ribosomal RNA is filed under the name Salmonella enterica subsp. enterica serovar Kentucky. RNAcentral's name for it is "bacterial SSU rRNA". It matches the Rfam family "Bacterial small subunit ribosomal RNA", at positions 87 to 513 of the family's 1533-position model. The record is from RNAcentral. Lineage: Bacteria; Pseudomonadati; Pseudomonadota; Gammaproteobacteria; Enterobacterales; Enterobacteriaceae.
GCUGACGAGUGGCGGACGGGUGAGUAAUGUCUGGGAAACUGCCUGAUGGAGGGGGAUAACUACUGGAAACGGUGGCUAAUACCGCAUAACGUCGCAAGACCAAAGAGGGGGACCUUCGGGCCUCUUGCCAUCAGAUGUGCCCAGAUGGGAUUAGCUUGUUGGUGAGGUAACGGCUCACCAAGGCGACGAUCCCUAGCUGGUCUGAGAGGAUGACCAGCCACACUGGAACUGAGACACGGUCCAGACUCCUACGGGAGGCAGCAGUGGGGAAUAUUGCACAAUGGGCGCAAGCCUGAUGCAGCCAUGCCGCGUGUAUGAAGAAGGCCUUCGGGUUGUAAAGUACUUUCAGCGGGGAGGAAGGUGUUGUGGUUAAUAACCGCAGCAAUUGACGUUACCCGCAGAAGAAGCACCGGCUAACUCCGUGCCAGCA